GACGGAGGGUGCUAGCGUUGUUCGGAAUUACUGGGCGUAAAGCGCGUGUAGGCGGCAUGGUAAGUCGAGUGUGAAAGCCCGAGGCUCAACCUCGGAAGUGCAUUCGAAACUGCCAUACUUGAGUACGGGAGAGGGAAGCGGAACUCCUGGUGUAGAGGUGAAAUUCGUAGAUAUCAGGAGGAACACCGGUGGCGAAGGCGGCUUCCUGGACCGAUACUGACGCUGAGACGCGAAAGCGUGGGGAGCAAACAGG
Molecule: ribosomal RNA, 253 nt
Filed under: uncultured bacterium
Lineage: Bacteria
Description: partial 16S ribosomal RNA
Rfam family: Bacterial small subunit ribosomal RNA
Source: RNAcentral